CGAAGGGAAACCGAGUCUUAACUGGGCGUUAAGUUGCAGGGUAUAGACCCGAAACCCGGUGAUCUAGCCAUGGGCAGGUUGAAGGUUGGGUAACACUAACUGGAGGACCGAACCGACUAAUGUUGAAAAAUUAGCGGAUGACUUGUGGCUGGGGGUGAAAGGCCAAUCAAACCGGGAGAUAGCUGGUUCUCCCCGAAAGCUAUUUAGGUAGCGCCUCGUGAAUUCAUCUCCGGGGGUAGAGCACUGUUUCGGCAAGGGGGUCAUCCCGACUUACCAACCCGAUGCAAACUGCGAAUACCGGAGAAUGUUAUCACGGGAGACACACGGCGGGUGCUAACGUCCGUCGUGAAGAGGGAAACAACCCAGACCGCCAGCUAAGGUCCCAAAGUCAUGGUUAAGUGGGAAACGAUGUGGGAAGGCCCAGACAGCCAGGAUGUUGGCUUAGAAGCAGCCAUCAUUUAAAGAAAGCGUAAUAGCUCACUGGUCGAGUCGGCCUGCGCGGAAGAUGUAACGGGGCUAAACCAUGCACCGAAGCUGCGGCAGCGACGCUGAUGCGUUGUUGGGUAGGGGAGCGUUCUGUAAGCCUGCGAAGGUGUGCUGUGAGGCAUGCUGGAGGUAUCAGAAGUGCGAAUGCUGACAUAAGUAACGAUAAAGCGGGUGAAAAGCCCGCUCGCCGGAAGACCAAGGGUUCCUGUCCAACGUUAAUCGGGGCAGGGUGAGUCGACCCCUAAGGCGAGGCCGAAAGGCGUAGUCGAUGGGAAACAGGUUAAUAUUCCUGUACUUGGUGUUACUGCGAAGGGGGGACGGAGAAGGCUAUGUUGGCCGGGCGACGGUUGUCCCGGUUUAAGCGUGUAGGCUGGUUUUCCAGGCAAAUCCGGAAAAUCAAGGCUGAGGCGUGAUGACGAGGCACUGCGGUGCUGAAGCAACAAAUGCCCUGCUUCCAGGAAAAGCCUCUAAGCAUCAGGUAACAUCAAAUCGUACCCCAAACCGACACAGGUGGUCAGGUAGAGAAUACCAAGGCGCUUGAGAGAACUCGGGUGAAGGAACUAGGCAAAAUGGUGCCGUAACUUCGGGAGAAGGCACGCUGAUAUGUAGGUGAAGUCCCUCGCGGAUGGAGCUGAAAUCAGUCGAAGAUACCAGCUGGCUGCAACUGUUUAUUAAAAACACAGCACUGUGCAAACACGAAAGUGGACGUAUACGGUGUGACGCCUGCCCGGUGCCGGAAGGUUAAUUGAUGGGGUUAGCGCAAGCGAAGCUCUUGAUCGAAGCCCCGGUAAACGGCGGCCGUAACUAUAACGGUCCUAAGGUAGCGAAAUUCCUUGUCGGGUAAGUUCCGACCUGCACGAAUGGCGUAAUGAUGGCCAGGCUGUCUCCACCCGAGACUCAGUGAAAUUGAACUCGCUGUGAAGAUGCAGUGUACCCGCGGCAAGACGGA
RNAcentral lists this ribosomal RNA (1435 nucleotides) under Escherichia coli O26:H11. RNAcentral describes it as "bacterial LSU rRNA". It matches the Rfam family "Bacterial large subunit ribosomal RNA", at positions 667 to 2084 of the family's 2925-position model. Lineage: Bacteria; Pseudomonadati; Pseudomonadota; Gammaproteobacteria; Enterobacterales; Enterobacteriaceae. The record is from RNAcentral.